UUUUUUUUCUUUUUUACUCAAUGUGACUUCUUUGAGACUAUUAAGUUCUUUUUUCUAACUGGCUUCUAGAAAAAAAUAUCCAAGUGAAAGUCAACCAAGACUAUGUGUCCAGGGUUCCAAUGGUGAAGGUUAGUUCAUCAGUUCUUUGUUGAAUUGUUAUAAAUUAUGUUGAGGAUAACAAAAUGAAUACUAGAAGCAAGAUUGCUUAAACAACUUAACCAAAUACAUAUUUUAUUAUAACCGAAACAUCUGUGGAUUUGAGAAGGACAAUUUCUUGCUAAAGAUAGGCUUUGUGAAAAAUAUUAAGAGUAAUGAUGACCCUUAUGUUAGUCAGUUUUUGUUUUUGAAUGGGUAGAUAUAUAUUCUGAAAAAAAUUGAUGAUUUGUGGAAUGUCAAUAGGUAAUUGCCUGUGAUGUUAUCAACAUCAACUCUCUGCAUUUGUUUCUUAUGGCUGCUGUAAAAAUUACCACAACCUAGGUGGCUAAGUACAACAGAAAUUUAUUCCUUCAGGGUUCUGGAGGCCAGAACUUAAAUCAGUGUCACUGGGAUGAAAUAAAAGUGUUGGCAAGGUCAUGAUUUGGAAAAAAAAAUAAAAAAUAAAAAUAAAUGAUCAUAUAAACAAUACAUUCCCUCCCGAAAUAAUGCUAUAAAGCCUUAUAGGCACAGACCAAUAACUUAAUGGUUUCAAUAGGAACAAAGUAAUAAUGCUUAGAGCAAAAUAUUUUCUGUAUUAUUCAAAUGACCUGUGCUCUCAAACUGGGUAAGAUUUACAUAAAACAACCUGAGACACUGAAACUGGUAACUUUACAAAUCCUAACUUUUCUCUCAGAUCAUGAAGACACAUGCUUAGAAAGGAAUAACUCAGCUACAGGGAGACAACCACUUUCUAUGGAUCCCAGCAGACAGAAGUAAGCUUAGCUGGAAAGCAAUGCUAAUGAGGAUUUCAGAAUCACAAAAACAAAAUGGUACAUUAGGGAUCUGUAAGCCUACACUUAAGAUGCUGGGAAGGAAAAGAGCCUAAACCUUCCUAAGCAGAGAGAUAACUUCCUUACUUCUCAAGAGCUCCAUGAACUGGAUUCCCAAAACCACAUGGAAACCCUUUUCUAGUAUCACUCUCUUUUUUCCUUAUAUAGAAUUUAAAUUCCUUUUAUUAUAAGUACAGGACAGUUUUUGUUUCUUAUUUAGAAAAUACAUACUACCAAAUAUAGCUUUGGCUCUUUUCAGAGGUAUUUUUCAAUCUCUCACUUUCUCCUCUGCUGAUCCCCUCCGCCGGUAAAUGAUCCCCAUUUUUCAGAGACUGUAUUUUAUUUUUGUUUUAAAUUUUUACAUAUUUAUAUGAUUUUUGAGAGGAUUUUUUUUUUUUUACUUCACUUACUACUUUCAAUUUUGAUCUGGAGGAAAAUCUACCUGAACAUCCCACCCAGAUCAUUUUUAAAAUAAUCUAAUGACUAUGUGUUUACUGCAGUUGGAAAGAGGAUUGUAGAGUAAAAUCUGUAUAUUUGGAGGUUCCCUGAAAAGGUAGAAAAUUAAAUGAAGUAUUAUCAUGUGAAUACAACAAUUAUCAUAAAACAAACAAGUGUAAAGUAGGGGAAAUACUGACAUAUUUGAUUAUUGGCAGUAUUUUGUGAAAGGAUACAGGAAUGGGGGAUGUUAUCAACUUUAAAAUGUCAAGAAACCGUAUUUAUGAAUAUAUUUGAAAAGAGUCCUUCUCAGGAUGCCAAAAAUCUCAUACAGAAUUUCUUUUUAAAAUUCUAUUAGUACGUUUUCUUGUAGCAAUCUCUUAUUUUAGAUAAUAUACAGGGUAACUGAAGAAAUUUUAGGAGAACACUUUAAUACUUAAAGAAAAAUCUUUUUCUAUUACUUUACAAUAAUCGAUAGUUUGGCACUAUUAUAAGCAUUAAAGAAGAAACAAUGCUAAAUUAAAAAAAAAAGAGAGAAAACAGGAGUUCCUGUUGCGGCACAAAGGAAACAAAUUUGACUAGGAACCAUGAGGUUGUGGGUUCAAUCCCUGGCCUCACUCAGUGAGUUAAGGAUCUGGUGUUGCUGUGAGCUGUGGUGUAGGUCGCAGAUGCAGCUUGGAUCUGGAGUUGCUAUAGUUGUGGCGUAGAUUGGCAGCUGUAGCUCUGAUUCCCUAGCCUGGGAACCUCCAUAUGCCACAGGUGCUGCCCUAAAAAGAAAAAAUAAAUAAAUGAAUGAAUAAAUAAAUAAAUAUAGAAAAAAUAAAAAGAAAUAAUAAUAAUAAACAAAAUCAUAGAAUCACAUGUUUAAUCAAAUGGUCAGAAUAUUUGUUAAAGUGAUCAAUAAUGGUUGUGCUCAAAUUUAGAACAAAGGCAAACAGCUGAAAAUUCUCCCAUUCACCUCUCUCUGUUUUUGCUUCUUUUUCCAAAAUAUCUCUUGAACAAAAUGACAACAGUAUUCAAAGCAAGGGCUUAGCAAAUAUAAUUCUGGAGGGAUAAAAACACGAGGAAUAUCAUUACUUUAUACUUUUAUUGUCAUCUUUGCAUCUUCCUAGUGCUCUCAAAUUUAUCCUCUUUAUUCUAGACUGUUAUAAAAAUUUGCCUAUCAUUUAAAAAUAUCAAAUAAAUUAAUCCACACAGCAAAAGUAUUAACUACCACUUUCUAAGAUACUUGUAUGUAGGUUUAUGCUUACACACACACACAUCUUUAAUUUUAUAUAAACCAACCUUGCAAAAUCAGAAUUUUUUAUCAAUCAGGAAACUAAGGCUCAGAGAUGUUAGAUUCUUUGUGAAAGUCAUGCAGCUGGUGUAUCUUUGAACUUGUUUACUCUGGUUCAAUCCAUUAACAGGUGAAUUAUCUCAUACCUACUUUAGCAUAUACCAAAAUAAGCAUUAUAAAUUGUUUCUUCUCUGUAAAGCUAGUUCUAAAUUACCCCUACAUCAUUGUAUUGACUAUAAUGUUCAAAAUAUUUGGACAUUAAAAAGAACAUCAAAGUAUUCUUCUUUAUUUUAUUUUUUCUAGUUCCAUUGAUAAUAAUAGCUGACCUUAUUAAGGGAUGAUGAUCCUACAAUCAUUAUUCUAUACUUUCUAGGAACCAUUUCCCUCAAUAGUCACAACUCUAAUGAGGUGUCAUAUUAGUUAGACAGUUUCAAUAGUGAGUGACAAAAAGAAUGGAAAUGACAGGCUUUUACAAUGUGGAAAAAUUCUCUUUUAAGUAAAUAUAUGGGUAAGUUACGUAGGGAUGGUAUGAUGCCAAAAACCCAAGCUCCGAAAAGCUGGCAUAUGGUACUUUUCCCAUUUUGUUGGUCAUAAAACAGUCACAUGGGUAAAUGCAACAAAAAAGGAGCUGGAAAAUACAAUGUAAUUUAUGGAAGGCCAUUUAACUCAUUAAAAUUGGGGAGGCUGUAUCAAAAAGGGAUAAAAUACAAAAGGUAUUAAAAAAAAUCAGAAGCAUUCUCUAAGUAGGCAUAAUUAUUAUUCUUCUUUUCCAAAUGAGCAUAGUAAGACAAAGAGAUAUAAAGUAAUAUGCCUAAGGUCAUACAACAACUUGCUCCCUUCAGUUUUUGCUCACUUCACUGUGAAUGCUUAUUACAAGGUCAAUUUUAUCAUAAUGUCUGAUUUAUCUUCUGACUAUCUAUGUUUUUCCUUGAAUCAAAAAUCAUUCUGUCAUCUGCAAAGAUAGAUAGAAUAUGAACACAUAAAAGGUAAAGCAUCCAAAAAGUCAAGGGAGAGGAGGGGAAAAAAAGGCGAGGCCAAGAAUAAUUUAUUAUCAAAAUUAAGCUACCCUCUAUACAACAAAAUUAUCCUCAUAAAUGAAAAGGGGCACACUACUGAUGCAUGCAAUGACAUAGAUAAAUCACAAAAGCACUAUGUUAAAUGAAAGUAGCCAGACCCAAAAGGCUUCCUCCUGUAUGCUUCCAUUUUUAUGACUAUUGAAAAGGAAAACUAAUGAUAGAAAUCAGAUCAGUGGUUUGCCAGUGCCUGAGAGGGGAGCAGGGACAAUGACUGCAUAAAAGCAAGAAAAAAACUCCAUUUUUUUUUUUUUUUUUUUGCCAUGCCCACCGCACAUGGAAGUUCCUGGCCAGGGAUCAACCUGUGCCUCAUCAGCAACCUGAGCUACAGUAGUGACAACACCGGAUCCUUAACCUGAUGAGACACCAGAGAAUUGCAAGAUGAAAAUAUUUUGAUAUUGAAGUAGUUUUUGCACAACUUUAUACAUUCAUCAAAAAUAAUAGAAAUAGAUAGCUAAAAAGUAUCCAUUUGACUAUAUAUAAAUAAUACUUCAAUAAUCAUGAAUUAUACAAAAACAUAAACUGUGUAAGCUAUCAGGUAGUCUUAGUCAGCUGAGGAUUACAAUUUGCCUCUGAGUUUCAUAAACUGAAUGUGAGAUUAAAAUAACCAGUUAUGGAGUUCCCGUCGUGGCGCAGUGGUUAACGAAUCCGACUAGGAACCAUGAGGUUGCGGGUUCGGUCCCUGCACUUGCUCAGUGGGUUAAGGAUCCGGCGUUGCCGUGAGCUGUGGUGUAGGUUGCAGACGCGGCUCGGAUCCCGCGUUGCUGUGGCUCUGGCAUAGGCCGGUGGCUACAGCUCCGAUUCAACCCCUAGCCUGGGAACCUCCAUAUGCCGCGGGAGCAGCCCAAGAAAUAGCAACAACAACAACAACAAAAGACAAAAAAUAAAAUAAAAUAAAAUAAAAUAACCAGUUAUAAGGUCAUCAGUGUCUUUGACAAUAAUAUGAAGAGAAAUAAUCUGGGCAAGGAUGAAAUAAGAUGGUGUUUUUUUCAAAAAUACAGGUUGCUUUUAUGUAUCAUAGGUUGGUAAUAAACAUUUCAUUGUACCAGUUAUGUAAAUUAUAAAUUUGAGGUACAUCAUUUAAGCAGGAUUAAUUCAUGCCUGAGUUACUCAUUAAUGCCAUGGUUAAAAUUAUAUACUUAAAUGUACUCAGAACUCUAGAGAGCACCAUUCUUUGUUUGCAUGCACAAGAAAAUACAUAUAAACUAAUCUAAUCAAGGGUUAUUUAUAGUUCUAAUUGUCAAGUAGGUCUUAUCAACAUGAUUUUUGUCAGGUACCACUUUAUAAAUUCAUUCUAGUUUCUAAAUACCUCUUUCGUUGUUGUUAAAUUGGUUUAACAUAGGCUCAUACCUUAUUUAGUCUUUCUGUGCUAUUUAUCAUAUCUUCUAGCAAAAAGUCCAAAAAAAAAAAAAAGAGAAUAAUCCACAUAUUAGAAUCACAUUAUUUUGUUUUGGAUCCUGGAAAACAUUCAUUAUAGAAAUAUUCAUUCACCCUGGCUCCCUCAUUUCCUACCUGGAACAUUGGAAAAGGCACUUAACUUCUCUGUACCUCAGUUACCUCACAAAAAAUGAAGCUAAUAAAAGCAGCUCACUAACAAAGUUCUAUGGUAAGGGUAAAAUUAGUCAGCAUAUGUAAAAUAAAGCAAGCAUUAUGUUAGGUGCUGCUACCAUCACUCUUAAUUCCUAUGUGACAUAGAUAUUCCUCAAAAGACAAAAUUAUAUCUAGUACCUCUCUAUAUAGAUACUGUGUAACCUUUUGAUGUCUUAUCACCUCCUACCAGAAAAGAGUAAAAAUGUAAAUUCCAUGGUAAUAAUGUCACAAAUUAAUACUAAGCCUGGACUAUACAUAAAUACCUUAAAAAUGAUAAAAUUCAGCCCAGCAAUCUGAAUAUAAUACACUAUGGGAAGCAUGUUUGUAUUACAGUUAAAAUGUAAGAAAACACACACACACACACACAAAACAAAAAUGAAACCUAUGAUGUGUUGCUUAACAUUUGAUGGAUUCCAUCUUGGGUGACUUAUUUUAACUUUGGAUGAAACAUGGGGUCUAAUUUCAAAUCUAGUCAUUGAAAAAAAUCUUAGUAGGACUUUAAUCAGGUUUAAGUUAUGAUAGUAGCCAUGGAAAGUGAGGAUGUAAACACAUUCUGACAGAAUAGAAACAUGAGAUUAUUCCUUUUAAGAGAAUUGCAUCUCUUUCCCUUAAAGGACAUUAAAAACUUCAACAAUUAUUUCUUUAGGAGGCAUUACUCUCCCCACAACUCCAUCACAGUUUUCCUUUAGACAAGUUCACAUUCCACUUUUUACAGGGACAUUUAUCUCUGUAAAAAAUAUGGGAUAUGUUAUGGCACUGUUGUUACACUGGACAGAUCAGCUCCUUGAAAGGGUCAAUGAUUUUCCUGUCAGACAUAAUUAUACACAGAGAGAUACAGGGAUCCGAGAAUGUAUGUCACAAGCAGAUAAUCUUUGCUUUGGGAGAAUCUUCAGGAGGCAAAGAGAUCUGAAUGCUUAUGGGGUAGAUCAAGUAGUAAGCUGAGACAAGGAGAAUCAGAGGUCUGGUGGGCCAUGGCUGGAAUGGUUCUGUGAAGAAAGCGUAGAAGAGGCAGUGGAUAGAGAAGCAAUAGACAGGAGAGAAGAACACAGAUAAGCAAAGGUAAAAAACAACACACAGAGAAUCUUUAAGACAACUCAGAGUAUCAAUAACAUAAGAUUUUACACUUCUAUGAAAUAUACGCUAUGAUUCAUAACCUCAGAAAAUUAAACACUGGAAUGUUUCAUUCCUCUUCUGCAGAUAAUUAAAUACUGUGAAAUUAUUUGUAUCCUCUAUCCAUACAUUUGCCAUUGCUCUAUUGAAUAGAAGUGGUCUUACUUUUAAUGAACAUCUUAUGUUAAAAUGAUCACUUAUCCUCAUACUAUCUUGAUACAUAGCUUAAAAAUAAAAAAAAAAGAUAUAGAAGAACUGACUUUAUGAAAACAAAAUGAAUAAAAAGAACUAAUGAGGAGUUCCCAUCGUGGCUCAGUGGUUAAUGAAUCCGACUAGGAACCAUGAGGUUGAGGGUUCGAUCCCUGGCCUUGCUCAGUGGGUUAAGGAUCUGGCAUUGCCGUGAGCUGUGGUGUAGUUCGCAGACACGGCUCAGAUCCUGCAUUCCUGUGGCUGUGGUAUAUAGGCUGGUGGCUACAGCUCCAAUUAGAUCCCUAGCUUGGGAACCUCCAUAUGCGGCCCUAGAA
This 6973-nucleotide long non-coding RNA is filed under the name Sus scrofa (pig). Its description in RNAcentral is "lncRNA (ENSSSCG00000063134.1)". The record is from RNAcentral. Lineage: Eukaryota; Metazoa; Chordata; Mammalia; Artiodactyla; Suidae.